CGAGGGUGAUUGUGAAACCAAGAACCUGAAGGUGAUCGUGAGAACACGAAGGGACACAAAGGAUUUAGAUAGAUUCGGGCCUCUAGAGAGUAAUACCCUACGUCCUAUAUUUUGGUGGAUUGUAUUGCUCAAGAUUGAUCUGAUGAUCUUUUGUCCUUAGGGGGAACCCUUGGCUGCCUUAUAUAGUCUAAUGACUAGGUGCUACAAGUCAGUUUGAAUCUAAUCUACUCGGUCUUUACAUGGAAAGAAAUCUAAUUCGGACUAUAAAAUGCGUCCCAAGAUGUCCGGGUAGAUUUGGACAGUCUUGUUGCCUCGUCGUGUACUCCAAGUAACUUCAUAUCUUUGG
Molecule: long non-coding RNA, 346 nt
Filed under: Setaria viridis
Lineage: Eukaryota; Viridiplantae; Streptophyta; Magnoliopsida; Poales; Poaceae
Description: long non-coding RNA (SVIR_LNC010715)
Source: RNAcentral